Mastomys coucha (southern multimammate mouse) is the source of this 400-nucleotide long non-coding RNA. RefSeq lists it as uncharacterized. The record is from RefSeq and is a predicted model, not a curated record. NCBI's taxonomy places the organism in Eukaryota, Metazoa, Chordata, Mammalia, Rodentia, Muridae. The transcript has 2 exons.
GUGAAAAACUCAUUCAUGAACAUCUUUGCUCCUAUGAAGCUUGCAGUUUCAGGGGAGCUUUGUGAGUGCUGAGAGAUGGCCGGUGCUGAAGAAUAGUUGCUGCUCAUACAGAGGACUGAGUGGAGCUUGCAAAUGAAGGCAGUGCCAUCACUUUCUACAGCUGUCCUUGACUGAGGAGUUCAACCUUUGCAUGCUGUCAAUGAGCUGACGGGUCCAAAGUGGCCAGAGAAACGGCUGAGAGAGCAGAGACACUUGCUGCCAAGCCUGACAUGGUUCAACCUCCAGCACCCACGUUGAAAGACGUCCUCUUGACCUGUCCAAAAGUCCUGUGGCAUGCCACAUACAUAUGUACAUAAUACACACAUAUAUACAUACAUGUAAUAAAAAAUUCCAAACAAGC